Rhodamnia argentea is the source of this 144-nucleotide long non-coding RNA. RefSeq lists it as uncharacterized. The transcript has 3 exons. Lineage: Eukaryota; Viridiplantae; Streptophyta; Magnoliopsida; Myrtales; Myrtaceae. The record is from RefSeq and is a predicted model, not a curated record.
CCCUUUUCCGAGACCGCUCACCACUCCUCCAGUGACCAGCACGUACUUCAUCUCUUCUUUCUCUCUCUCUAUCUCUAUCUCUAUCUCUACACCUACACCAGCAACACAAACAUCAGAGAGGCGAGGGCAAGGCCAAAAAAAAAA